UACAGAGGGUGCGAGCGUUGUUCGGAAUUAUUGGGCGUAAAGCGCGUGUAGGCGGCUUUGCAAGUCGGGUGUGAAAGCCCUCAGCUCAACUGAGGAAGUGCGCCCGAAACUGCAGAGCUUGAGUACCGGAGAGGGUGGCGGAAUUCCCCAAGUAGAGGUGAAAUUCGUAGAUAUGGGGAGGAAGACCGGUGGCGAAGGCGGCUCUCUGGACCACAACUGACGCUGAGGCGCGAAAGCGUGGGGAGCAAACAGG
Molecule: ribosomal RNA, 253 nt
Filed under: uncultured bacterium
Lineage: Bacteria
Description: partial 16S ribosomal RNA
Rfam family: Bacterial small subunit ribosomal RNA
Source: RNAcentral